UAUUGCUCCUGGACGACGACCCCUUCGGAUCCCUACUGGAGCAGAGCUUCCUCCAGGGCGCGGGGGGGUGCGAAGUCCUUCGGGCGGAGG
Molecule: transfer RNA, 90 nt
Filed under: Synergistetes bacterium ADurb.Bin520
Lineage: Bacteria; Thermotogati; Synergistota
Description: tRNA-Gly
Source: RNAcentral